CGAAGGGGGCUAGCGUUGUUCGGAAUUACUGGGCGUAAAGCGCACGCAGGCGGUUCGAUUAGUCAGAAGUGAAAGCCCCGGGCUCAACCUGGGAACUGUCUUUUGAUACUGUCGAGCUUGAAUCACGGAGAGGGUAGUGGAAUUCCGAGUGUAGAGGUGAAAUUCGUAGAUAUUCGGAAGAACACCAGUGGCGAAGGCGACUACCUGGCCGUCGAUUGACGCUCAUGUGCGAAAGCGUGGGGAGCAAACAGGAUUAGAUACCCUGGUAGUCCACGCCGUAAACGAUGGGUGCUAGUUGUUGGGGUACAUGUACCUCAGUGACGCAGCUAACGCGUUAAGCACCCCGCCUGGGGAGUACGGCCGCAAGGUU
This 370-nucleotide ribosomal RNA is filed under the name uncultured organism. RNAcentral describes it as "bacterial SSU rRNA". It matches the Rfam family "Bacterial small subunit ribosomal RNA", at positions 526 to 895 of the family's 1533-position model. The record is from RNAcentral.